ACGAACGCUGGCGGCGUGCUUAACACAUGCCAGUCGAACGGAAAGGCCCUGCUUUUGUGGGGUGCUCGAGUGGCGAACGGGGGAGUAACACGUGAGUAACCUGCCCUUGACUUUGGGAUAACUUCAGGAAACUGGGGCUAAUACCGGAUAGGGGCUCCUGCUGCAUGGUGGGGGUUGGAAAGUUUCGGCGGUUGGGGAUGGACUCGCGGCUUAUCAGCUUGUUGGUGGGGUAGUGGCUUACCAAGGCUUUGACGGGUAGCCGGCCUGAGAGGGUGACCGGCCACAUUGGGACUGAGAUACGGCCCAGACUCCUACGGGAGGCAGCAGUGGGGAAUAUUGCACAAUGGGCGGAAGCCUGAUGCAGCAACGCCGCGUGCGGGAUGACGGCCUUCGGGUUGUAAACCGCUUUCGCCUGUGACGAAGCGUGAGUGACGGUAAUGGGUAAAGAAGCACCGGCUAACUACGUG
Molecule: ribosomal RNA, 467 nt
Filed under: uncultured bacterium
Lineage: Bacteria
Description: partial 16S ribosomal RNA
Rfam family: Bacterial small subunit ribosomal RNA
Source: RNAcentral